GAAAUUAUGUAUACUUUCACAUAAAUUACUCGUUAAAUUUACGUAGAAUUAACAAAGAAUAUACUUUGAUUCUUGUUUUUUUUCUAUAUAUAAAAUUCAGAAUUAAUUAAUGAACAAAAAUUAUAAAAAAUAAAUAAAUAAUGGAAAAAUCCAAAAAAUAUUUUAUAAAUAUUUAAGUUUUAAAUUUAUAGUACAAUAAAAAAAGAAAAAAAACUAGCUAGGGGUUAUGGAACUUCGGGAAGUACUCAUGACUACUCCUUCUCUCCAUCUCCUCCUCCUCCUCUGUGGAUCAUUGUCUGAAGAAGAUGAUGUUACUGCAUGACUACCGGGCGCACCAAACAGAUUUCUGUAAUGAGGUGUCAGCUUGUUUUUCCUAACAAUCUGAAAAAGAAUUAAUUAGAUUAAUCAAGUAACAUUUAAAAUUUCUCAUCAUGUAAUCUACAAAUUCCAUAAAUUUGUCUACAAAUUUUCUAUACUAACCAUCUAAUCAAAUCCUAAUUCCCCUAAAC
RNAcentral lists this long non-coding RNA (509 nucleotides) under Brassica rapa (field mustard). RNAcentral's name for it is "long non-coding RNA (BRAP_LNC004260)". The record is from RNAcentral. Lineage: Eukaryota; Viridiplantae; Streptophyta; Magnoliopsida; Brassicales; Brassicaceae.